Molecule: ribosomal RNA, 468 nt
Filed under: uncultured bacterium
Lineage: Bacteria
Description: partial 16S ribosomal RNA
Rfam family: Bacterial small subunit ribosomal RNA
Source: RNAcentral
GACGAACGCUGGCGGCGUGCUUAACACAUGCAAGUCGAACGGAAAGGCCCUGCUUUUGUGGGGUGCUCGAGUGGCGAACGGGUGAGUAACACGUGAGUAACCUGCCCUUGACUUUGGGAUAACUUCAGGAAACUGGGGCUAAUACCGGAUAGGAGCUCCUGCUGCAUGGUGGGGAUUGGAAAGUUUCGGCGGUUGGGGAUGGACUCGCGGCUUAUCAGCUUGUUGGUGGGGUAGUGGCUUACCAAGGCUUUGACGGGUAGCCGGCCUGAGAGGGUGACCGGCAACAUUGGGACUGAGAUACGGCCCAGACUCCUACGGGAGGCAGCAGUGGGGAAUAUUGCACAAUGGGCGGAAGCCUGAUGCAGCAACGCCGCGUGCGGGAUGACGGCCUUCGGGUUGUAAACCGCUUUCGCCUGUGACGAAGCGUGAGUGACGGUAAUGGGUAAAGAAGCACCGGCUAACUACGUG